Molecule: non-coding RNA, 27 nt
Filed under: Rattus norvegicus (Norway rat)
Lineage: Eukaryota; Metazoa; Chordata; Mammalia; Rodentia; Muridae
Source: RNAcentral
AAAUGCACCCGGAAGAAGACUUCUCUU